UACGAAGGGGGCGAGCGUUGUUCGGAAUUACUGGGCGUAAAGGGCGCGUAGGCGGCGACCCAAGUCAGAUGUGAAAGUCCUGGGCUCAACCUGGGGGCUGCAUUUGAUACGUUCGGACUAGAGUGGGGAAGAGGGUCGUGGAAUUCCCAGUGUAGAGGUGAAAUUCGUAGAUAUUGGGAAGAACACCGGUGGCGAAGGCGGCGACCUGGUCCUUGACUGACGCUGAGGCGCGAAAGCGUGGGGAGCAAACAGG
This 253-nucleotide ribosomal RNA is filed under the name uncultured bacterium. RNAcentral's name for it is "partial 16S ribosomal RNA". It matches the Rfam family "Bacterial small subunit ribosomal RNA", at positions 524 to 776 of the family's 1533-position model. The record is from RNAcentral.